CCUGGAUGUUUUGACUCUGAAGC
RNAcentral lists this non-coding RNA (23 nucleotides) under Cricetulus griseus (Chinese hamster). Lineage: Eukaryota; Metazoa; Chordata; Mammalia; Rodentia; Cricetidae. The record is from RNAcentral.